RNAcentral lists this ribosomal RNA (872 nucleotides) under uncultured bacterium. RNAcentral's name for it is "bacterial SSU rRNA". It matches the Rfam family "Bacterial small subunit ribosomal RNA", at positions 51 to 919 of the family's 1533-position model. The record is from RNAcentral.
ACACAUGCAAGUCGAACGAAGCUUGACGGAUGAUUUCUUCGGAAUGAAACCAGAUAUGACUUAGUGGCGGACGGGUGAGUAACACGUGAGCAACCUGCCUUUCAGAGGGGGAUAACGGCUGGAAACGGUCGCUAAUACCGCAUGAUGUGUUCGGAUGGCAUCAUCUGAACAUCAAAGAUUUAUCGCUGAAAGAUGGGCUCGCGUCUGAUUAGAUAGUUGGUGGGGUAACGGCCUACCAAGUCGACGAUCAGUAGCCGGACUGAGAGGUUGAACGGCCACAUUGGGACUGAGAUACGGCCCAGACUCCUACGGGAGGCAGCAGUGGGGAAUAUUGCACAAUGGGGGAAACCCUGAUGCAGCAACGCCGCGUGAAGGAUGACGGUUUUCGGAUUGUAAACUUCUUUUCUUAGUGACGAAGACAGUGACGGUAGCUAAGGAAUAAGCAUCGGCUAACUACGUGCCAGCAGCCGCGGUAAUACGUAGGAUGCAAGCGUUAUCCGGAUUUACUGGGUGUAAAGGGAGCGCAGGCGGGACUGCAAGUUGGAUGUGAAAUACCGUGGCUUAACCACGGAACUGCAUCCAAAACUGUAGUUCUUGAGUGAAGUAGAGGCAAGCGGAAUUCCGAGUGUAGCGGUGAAAUGCGUAGAUAUUCGGAGGAACACCAGUGGCGAAGGCGGCUUGCUGGGCUUUAACUGACGCUGAGGCUCGAAAGUGUGGGGAGCAAACAGGAUUAGAUACCCUGGUAGUCCACACUGUAAACGAUGAUAGCUAGGUGUGGGGGGUCUGACCCCUUCCGUGCCGGAGUUAACGCAAUAAGCUAUCCACCUGGGGAGUACGACCGCAAGGUUGAAACUCAAAGGAAUUGACGGGGG